Musa acuminata AAA Group (dessert banana) is the source of this 1998-nucleotide long non-coding RNA. RefSeq lists it as uncharacterized. NCBI's taxonomy places the organism in Eukaryota, Viridiplantae, Streptophyta, Magnoliopsida, Zingiberales, Musaceae. The transcript is spliced from 6 exons. The record is from RefSeq and is a predicted model, not a curated record.
UAAAUGACAAGGGAGAAGAGCAUGAUUUGAUCUGGUCCGGUUCGAUUGCAGACCGGAUUGGUUUCGUUUUCCUACCAAUUAUACUCGGUUGUAUCGCAACCAUGUAGUAUGCACGACGGGCGAAGCGAAGCCGCGGUAGUCGACGAGUUCACUCGAUUCGCCGCACAAGUUUGGAGGGAACAUCGACUCGUAGGUUAAAAUUGCUUCGUUUUCCGUCUAAUUGCGAACGAUUUUGCUUUUGUUCCAUAGGACUCUGAUUUGCGUACCCGAUCGUGCUCGCCUCGGGCCUUCCUGGAGAAUUUGGCCCUUCUUAGGGCAUGAAGACGUUAGCACUGGGGGCUUUACAUGCUUAAAAUCCAGCGAUGUUCGUGGGAGUCUCAGUACAGACAUUUUAAAGGUGUGUCAAUACUGGAUGUCACUUAAGCUCUGAACACAAUGAGGUGGUUGUCCAAAGGUGCAGGGGGGGCAUACAUGUGAGCCCUCAUGUUCCUAGGGGCCAAAUGUGAGACAAAUAGUAUCUCACAUACUUUAUUGAUUCAUGUGGUGCCAAAGAGCCAGGGAAGUUUAUAUUUUGUUCAACAGAUGUGAGUCAUUUGUUUAUAGGACCGUAUGGUAAGUGUCAAUUUCCAUCUUUCCAUGUACCCUACACUGUUUGCAUACUAGCUCAUGCCACCUGCUUUUUACUGCACCCCAAUGUACCCUCUGUUGCAACCUCUGUGCUCCUUCUCAAUGGCCAUUUCCCAUCUCUUUCCCACUUCCCAACACCUUUAAAAGCCAGGCUAAAGGUAAAAAAAAGGUAACCUACUGACCAUUUGGGUCUGUGACAUGAAUCACCUUUUGAUGGAGCAGGAGGCCUAUCUUCCUUCAUAUUGUUUUCUCUGGCUUUUCAUCAUGGAUAGAAGAAUUAAUAAUGUAUGGAAUAUGGACAUUGGACAUGACAGCUAGUAUUUGUUGAGCAAUGUGCUCUGAACAUGGUUUUGUACCCAAAAGUAAGUCAUGUCUGAGUGACAAAUUUCACAUUCUACUAUCUGAUUUCUCUAUGAAUUUAAGAAUUCAUAAUGUACAGACAGUAUGGGCAGUGGAAAUGACAUAAUAGCAUUUGUUCCAUCAACCAUCUGUCUCCGGGAUCCCUCUGGUGGAGCAAUGAGCUGUUGACAUGGUUUUGUGCCCUAAAGUAAGCCACUGCUGAGUGACAAGCUCUCAUCCAUCCCCUUUGAUGAUUGUCCACUUGAGGAAUGUUGGGGACUCUGCACCAAGAAUAUCAGAGCUGGCCUGUAUGGUUUGUACCUGUAAGUGCCUGAAGGGAACUGAUGAGUAAGUACACUGACCAUUUAUUAUGAUAAGGAUGGACUGCUCACCGCAUGAUUAACUUUGUUUUGUAAGCUUGCUGAAGGUGUCUCCCUCACCCCUUUUCUUGGCUCCACCUCUCAAUUAUGUAGUGAGAUGCAGAUGAAAUCUCUUUAUCAUCUUGCAAGGACACGACACAAGGCACGAGCUCUUCUUGGCAGUCGCUAAGGCUAGAGAGCGGGCGAUCCGUACUUACCCCUACAUCUUCCAGUCGAAAAAGCUGUUGCUGUCGCCAUGUCAUCAGAGCUCUGAGUCAUAACGCAGCUCACGGAAGCUGAAGUGGACUCCAAAUCCUCUGCGGCACGAAUCUUGGCGGCCGCGAUCAAGGAUCUACGUGCAUCCCAAAGCAUUCGGCCCCGCGAUGGAAUCGGUGAAGGCCCUAAGAUGUUACGACGGCUCCGAGGUCGACACGUAGCGGGCAGUAUGUGCGUUUGCGAGGGCGGCGCCAAAUAGGCGGCGCGACUAUUAACGCGCUCGGGGCGGACAACUAACUUGCGCCCCCGCCCGCAGCCGUAGGAUCGACAGACCGCCUCGUGAGCACCGUCCAAUCUGUGCGGCCCCCGUUCUCAAAUCACGUGACGUCCGCCCGUCUCCGAAAAGAGAACGUAUUAAUGUUUUGUGAACACUUGUAUUUUUAGAGAACUUGAAACA